UACGGAGGGUGCGAGCGUUAUUCGGAUUUAUUGGGCGUAAAGGGCGCGCAGGCGGUUUUUUAGGUCGGAUGUGAAAUCCCGCGGCUCAACUGCGGAAGUGCAUUCGAAACCGGAAAACUUGAGUAUGGGAGAGGGAAACGGAAUUCCCGGUGUAGCGGUGAAAUGCGUAGAUAUCGGGAGGAAAACCUGUGGCGGAAGCGGUUUCCCGGGCCAAUACUGACGCUGAGGCGAGAAGGCGCGGGGAUCAAACAGG
Molecule: ribosomal RNA, 253 nt
Filed under: uncultured bacterium
Lineage: Bacteria
Description: partial 16S ribosomal RNA
Rfam family: Bacterial small subunit ribosomal RNA
Source: RNAcentral